RNAcentral lists this ribosomal RNA (531 nucleotides) under uncultured bacterium. RNAcentral describes it as "bacterial SSU rRNA". It matches the Rfam family "Bacterial small subunit ribosomal RNA", at positions 777 to 1304 of the family's 1533-position model. The record is from RNAcentral.
AAUAGAUACCCUGGUAGUCCACGCCGUAAACGAUGAUAACUAGCUGUCCGGGCUCAUGGAGCUUGGGUGGCGCAGCUAACGCAUUAAGUUAUCCGCCUGGGGAGUACGGUCGCAAGAUUAAAACUCAAAGGAAUUGACGGGGGCCUGCACAAGCGGUGGAGCAUGUGGUUUAAUUCGAAGCAACGCGCAGAACCUUACCAGCCUUUGACAUCCCGGUCGCGGUUACCAGAGAUGGUUUCCUUCAGUUCGGCUGGACCGGUGACAGGUGCUGCAUGGCUGUCGUCAGCUCGUGUCGUGAGGUGUUGGGUUAAGUCCCGCGACGAGCGCAACCCUCGUCCUUAGUUGCCAUCAUUUAGUUGGGCACUCUAAGGAAACCGCCGGUGAUAAGCCGGAGGAAGGUGGGGAUGACGUCAAGUCCUCAUGGCCCUUACAGGCUGGGCUACACACGUGCUACAAUGGCGGUGACAGUGGGCAGCGACCCCGGCAAGGGGUGAGCUAAUCUCCAAAAGCCGUCUCAGUUCGGAUUGUUCU